This 992-nucleotide ribosomal RNA is filed under the name uncultured bacterium. RNAcentral describes it as "bacterial SSU rRNA". It matches the Rfam family "Bacterial small subunit ribosomal RNA", at positions 57 to 1022 of the family's 1533-position model. The record is from RNAcentral.
GCAGUCGAGCGAAGCUUGAGAAGCUUGCUUCUCUGAUGGUAGCGGCGGAGGGAUGAGUACCUCGGGUGUAACCUACCUAUAAGACUGGGAUGCCUCCGGGAAACCGGGGCUAAUAACGGAGAUAUAUUGAACCGCAUGGUUCCCUGUUGAAAGACGGUUUCGGCUGUCGCUUAUGCAUGGACCCGCGCCGAAUUAUCUAUGUGGUGAGGUGACGGCUUACCAAGGCAACAAUGCGAAACCGACCUGAGAGGGUGAUCAGGCACACUGGAACUGAGACACACAAUGGACUCCUACCUGAGGCAGCAGGCCGAAUCUUCCGCAAUGGGCGAAAGCCUGACGGAUAACGCCGCGUGAUGGAUGAGAGUCUUACGAUCGUAAAACUCUGUUGUUAAGGAAGAACCAAUUUGUUAGUAACUGAACAAGUCUUGACGGUACCUAACCAUAACUGCACGGCUAACUACCUGCCACCACUCGCCGUAAUACAUAUGUGGCACGCGUUAUCCGGACUUAUUGUGCGUAUAACGCGCGUAGGCUAUAUCCUAGGUCAGAUGUGAGAACCCACGACUCAACCGUGGAGGGUCAUUGAUAACUGGAGAACUUGAGUGCACAAGAGGAAAGGGCUGUACCAUGUGUAACGCUGAAGUGCGCAGACAUAUGGAGCAACACCGAUGACAUACGCUGCUCUCUGGUCUGUAACUGACGCUGAUGUGCGAAACCGUGCAGAUGAAACCUGGAUUAGAUACCCUGAUACUCCACGCCAUCCACCAUGAGAGCUAAGUGUUAAGAUUAUACCUCCCCUUAAUGCUGCAGCGAAUGCAUUAACCACUCAGCCUGUGGAGUACUACCGAACAGCUGAAACUCAAUGAAUUUGAUUUGACAUCCCCACAAUCUGCUAGAGCAAUGUGGUUUAAUCUCUUAAGCAAACCCGAAUGAACCUGUAGCAGAAUCUGUGAUGAUCCUCUUGAUCCGCUCUAGAGAUAGUAGUUUUCACC